RNAcentral lists this ribosomal RNA (253 nucleotides) under uncultured bacterium. Its description in RNAcentral is "partial 16S ribosomal RNA". It matches the Rfam family "Bacterial small subunit ribosomal RNA", at positions 524 to 776 of the family's 1533-position model. The record is from RNAcentral.
UACGGAGGGCGCAAGCGUUGUUCGGAAUUACUGGGCGUAAAGCGCGUGUAGGCGGCCUGACAAGUCGAAUGUGAAAUCCCGGAGCUCAACUCCGGAACUGCAUACGAUACUGUCAGGCUCGAGUCUCGGAGAGGGUGGCGGAAUUUCCGGUGUAGAGGUGAAAUUCGUAGAUAUCGGAAGGAACACCAGUGGCGAAGGCGGCCACCUGGACGAUGACUGACGCUGAGACGCGAAAGCGUGGGGAGCAAACAGG